Molecule: ribosomal RNA, 509 nt
Filed under: uncultured Ascomycota
Lineage: Eukaryota; Fungi; Ascomycota
Description: eukaryotic LSU rRNA
Rfam family: 5.8S ribosomal RNA (bases 173-326)
Source: RNAcentral
CAUUACAGAGAAAAUGCCCCUUGGGGUAUAUCUCCCCACCCUUUGUAUACAAUAUCAUUUGUUGCUUUGGCAGGCCCGUCUCUGGACCGCUGGCUAAUUUGCUGGUCAGUGCCUGCCAGAGGAUCCAUAAAACUCUUUUAUAACUUAUUGUCUGAUUCAAUGCAAUUAUUAAAACUUUCAACAACGGAUCUCUUGGUUCUGGCAUCGAUGAAGAACGCAGCGAAAUGCGAUAAGUAAUGUGAAUUGCAGAAUUCAGUGAAUCAUCGAAUCUUUGAACGCAUAUUGCACCUUCUGGUAUUCUGGGAGGUAUGCCUGUUCGAGCGUCAUUACGACCAACAAGCCUCUUAAGCUUGGUGUUGGAUGUCACCUAUAUAUUUAAGGUGCAUCUUAAAAUCAAUGAGCAGUUUUCUCAGCUUCCGAGCGUAGUAAUUUAUUCGCUUUUGGUGCUUAGAUGUCCUGCUAAAUACUUAACAUAUCAUGGUUUGACCUCGGAUCAGGUAGGGAUACCC